Molecule: ribosomal RNA, 462 nt
Filed under: uncultured bacterium
Lineage: Bacteria
Description: partial 16S ribosomal RNA
Rfam family: Bacterial small subunit ribosomal RNA
Source: RNAcentral
GACGAACGCUGGCGGCGUGCUUAACACAUGCAAGUCGAACGGAAAGGCCCUUCGGGGUACUCGAGUGGCGAACGGGUAAGUAACACGUGGGUGAUCUGCCCUGCACUUUGGGAUAAGCCUGGGAAACUGGGUCUAAUACCGAAUAGGACCACGCGCUUCAUGGUGUGUGGUGGAAAGCUUUUGCGGUGUGGGAUGGGCCCGCGGCCUAUCAGCUUGUUGGUGGGGUAAUGGCCUACCAAGGCGACGACGGGUAGCCGGCCUGAGAGGGUGACCGGCCACACUGGGACUGAGAUACGGCCCAGACUCCUACGGGAGGCAGCAGUGGGGAAUAUUGCACAAUGGGCGCAAGCCUGAUGCAGCGACGCCGCGUGAGGGAUGACGGCCUUCGGGUUGUAAACCUCUUUCAAUAGGGACGAAGCGCAAGUGACGGUACCUAUAGAAGAAGCACCGGCCAACUACGUG